GGGAUGAGUGGGCGAACGGGUGGAUUAACACGGGGAAAAUUCUGCCUAGGAGUGGGGGAUAACAUUUGGAAACGGAUGCUAAUACCGCAUAUCUUUUUGAAACCGCAUGGUUCUUAAACGAAAGACGGCUUCGGCUGUCGCUCUUAGAUGAUCCCGCGGCGUAUUAGUUAGUUGGUGGGGUAAAGGCCUACCAAGACCAUGAUACGUAGCCGACCUGAGAGGGUGAUCGGCCACACUGGGACUGAGACACGGCCCAGACUCCUACGGGAGGCAGCAGUAGGGAAUCUUCCACAAUGGGUGAAAACCUGAUGGAGCAAUGCCGCGUGAAUGAAGAAGGUCUUCGGAUCGUAAAGUUCUGUUAUUAGAGAAGAACAAGUCAAGGAGUAACUGUCUUGACUUUGACGGUACCUAACCAGAAAGUCACGGCUAACUACGUGCCAGCAGCCGCGGUAAUACGUAGGUGACAAGCGUUGUCCGGAAUUAUUGGGCGUAAAGGGAGCGCAGGCGGUUGGAAUAGUCUGAUGUGAAAGCCCACGGCUUAACCGUGGAAGGUCAUUGGAAACUGUCCAACUUGAAUACAGAAGAGGUAAGUGGAAUUCCAAGUGUAGCGGUGAAAUGCGUAGAUAUUUGGAGGAACACCAGUGGCGAAGGCGACUUACUGGUCUGUAAUUGACGCUGAGGCUCGAAAGCGUGGGUAGCAAACAGGAUUAGAUACCCUGGUAGUCCACGCCGUAAACGAUGAGUGCUAAGUGUUAGGGGGUUUCCGCCCCUUAGUGCUGGAGUUAACGCAUNAAGC
RNAcentral lists this ribosomal RNA (796 nucleotides) under uncultured bacterium. RNAcentral describes it as "bacterial SSU rRNA". It matches the Rfam family "Bacterial small subunit ribosomal RNA", at positions 87 to 865 of the family's 1533-position model. The record is from RNAcentral.